This 355-nucleotide long non-coding RNA is filed under the name Anser brachyrhynchus (Pink-footed goose). RNAcentral's name for it is "lncRNA (ENSABRG00000015571.1)". Lineage: Eukaryota; Metazoa; Chordata; Aves; Anseriformes; Anatidae. The record is from RNAcentral.
UAAUAAGCAACAGAUUCACUGAGAAAAUGCUUCCUAUCUGUUAGAAGAAUUUGACAGUUUUCAAAUGGAUGAUGCAUGAUUUAGGUUUGUUGACACUGAGUGAGCAGCACCUGAGGAACUUCAGAAAGUGCCAGGAUUUUCAGUGGAGGAAGGCAGGUUCCUGCUGCAUCCAUACAAUGUUGCUGACCAGCAGACUGGUGGAUACAUGAAGAAAACUCCUGCAUCCCUUCAAAAUGGGUUGGGUACAGGCUGUGAGGAGGAUCUGCGUAUAUCUGAGAAGGCCAUAACUGAGAUAAUCAUAAAUCUCCAAUGGAAGUAAGUCCAAGGAUGUCUAGAUACAAUCCAGGGCGAUACU